Molecule: microRNA precursor, 103 nt
Filed under: Marmota monax (woodchuck)
Lineage: Eukaryota; Metazoa; Chordata; Mammalia; Rodentia; Sciuridae
Source: RNAcentral
AGUGGGAUAUCUGGGUCAAAAGGUGGUUCCAUUCCAAGUUUUCUAAGGAAUAUCCAUACUGCUUUCCAGAUUGGCCGCACCAGUUUGCAUUCCCACCAGCAAU